GGUUCUAUGGCGCAAUUGGUUAGCGCGUCCGGCUGUUAUGUGAGUACCGUUCACACAGCAAUACCGGGAGGUUGAAAGUUCGAGUCUUUCUAGUACCG
This is a non-coding RNA of Terfezia boudieri ATCC MYA-4762, 98 nucleotides long. The record is from the annotation of a GenBank genome assembly. NCBI's taxonomy places the organism in Eukaryota, Fungi, Ascomycota, Pezizomycetes, Pezizales, Pezizaceae.